GGUAAUUAAAUAUUAUAUGUAUGGUGCUGACUGAAUGUCAUUCGAAUUAUGAUAGUGGAAAAAAAAUAAUAGAAAUUUAAUCCUAGGCUUGAAACUUGAAAAAAAAAAUUAUGAUAGAGGAAAUUUUAAUUGACAUCAAGAAUUACAAACUUGAUUAUAAAUUUGGUGAAUUUUUAAGUCAAGGUUAAACACAAAUAAAUAAAUAAAUGUGGGUAUUGUUAGUACCGAAAUCUUAUAGUGAAUAUAUUUACUUGAAUAGGUUGCAUCGAUUCGAAAGUUCAACGAAAAGGGAAGGCUCAAGUCCCAGACUGAUUAUUCGAUUGACUAAGGCAAGUGGAUUUCUAAACUCUUGUUAAGCGUACGAAAUUCGUGUAUUUCCUUGUGUGAUGUUGAGAAUGAUUUGGAGACUUGUUGUUUAAUUGUUGGUGUUGUAUUUCUUGUUGUAAAUUGUGCUUUGUUAUCAAAUGGUUAUCCUCUCCUUUUCAUUUGAGCAUGUCAUUUGCAUUGUAUAUGAGACAUGGUUGUGGUAAGAGGAUGAUGUACUAUUUUUGAGGGUCGUAUCGCGCGCCGCGAUGGAUAUUAUAUUUCGAGGGACGUAUCGCGCGCCGCGAAGGUUACUAUUUUAUCGAGGGUCGUUUCGUGCGCCGCGACAGAUGCAUGGACAGAUAUGUCCCCCAUGGGUCCCGGACUGAGAGACAGCGGGUGUGUAUCGUUAAGAAAGACAUGCAUCACGAUAUUUGACACUGCAUCUCAUGGCAUUGCACAUUUUUAUUAUUGAUGAACUUGAACAUGUGUUUUUGCUGAUCUUGUGAUUGUUUCUCUGUGAAGCUUGUGAUUGUUGAAUAUUGAGUUGUUAUUGAGAAUGUGUAAACUGAUAGAGCGUGGUUAUUGAUUGGUGUGUUUGGUAAACUGUUAGGCUGUAGCGUGGAUGUUUAGAUAGGGCGUAAGGAGUACCCGUAUUUUGUUCACUUAACUUGUGUUUAGAGGUUUGCUUGUUGGGUACCGCAUGGUUUGGUACUCACCCCUUGCUUCUACAAAUUUUUGUAGGUUACGAGCCCGGAUUUUUGUGAUAUCUUCCAUUCUCUUCGUUUCCGAGGCAUCUUGUGGAGGAUUGUGAGGUAGCUGCUUGUCAUCUCAACGAACUUCCCUACUCAAGUUUAUGACUUUGUUUUUACUUGAAAGACAACUUCAUGUUAGACUUCUAUUUUAUUUCAAUUCUAAUAUUUACAUUAGAGGCUUGUGCACGUGACAACCUGAUUUUGGGGAUUGGAUUAAUAUGACUUGGUUUCAUAAUAGGAAUUGUUGUUGGAUUGUCAUUUACUUCCGCACUUUGUUAGAUAUUGGGGUUUAGGCUGACUUGUCUUGGUGGGGUAAGGCGAGUGCUAUCACACCUAUUUUCUUGGUCGUGACAAAAUGGUAUCAGAGCCCCAGGUUCAUAGGUCUCACGUGUAUAAAAGCCGAGUCUAUGUAGAGUCUCAAGGAUCAGUACGGAGACGUCUGUACUCAUCUCUGAGAGGCUAUAAAGAUUACUAGGAAACUUCCUUUUGUUCAUUCUUUCUCAUCGUGCGUAGUUACCUUCGUUAGUACUGAGUUGUUGUAUACUCUUUUGACAGAUGACGAGGACUAGAGUUAAUGUGACUGGUGGUAGAGGGGAGGCACUUCCCGAGGCAGUUGUUGAGGCCCCAGCUAGGGGUAGGGGUAGAUCUCGAGCUAGAGGUCGUGCUAGUAGUACGACAGUAGCCAGAGGUCGUGGACGUGGAGCAGCACCAGUGAGAGGUCUUGCUAGAGAGGUCUCUACCGAACCUCAGAUUGAUGACAGAGAGGACCAGGUUCCUCCAGAUCCCGUAGUCACACCUUUGCUUCAGGAUAUGCUAUUGAGGGUGUUAAGUGUGUUAGAGGGCUUUUCUCAGGGUGGUGGUGCAACUACCACACCACAUGACUCCUGUACUAGAAAGGGGGCUCAGACCCAAGAGCAGCAACAAGCUCCAGCUGUUCGAGAUGCGGUGGGGCAACUACCAGUAGAUCUCGCGGUUCAUAAUGAUGUUGCACCAGCAAUUGGGGGUCAAGUUGCAUCGAUGGUUGUUCUGACAGAGGAUGAGCAGCGUAGGUAUGAGAGAUUUCGAAAGAUGGACCCACCUCAGUUUCAGGGUGGGAAGAGCGAGGACGCUCAUGAGUUUCUAACUACAUGCCGAGAGUUACUAUAGGUGGUUGGAUUAGCUGAGUCACAUGGGGUUCGAUAUGCUACACUCCAGCUUCGUGGACCAGCGAGAGACUGUUGGAGGACUUAUUCGGGAUGUUUGCCAGUUGGAUCUCCUCCAGUGACUUGGGAGCAGUUUGCGGUUGCAUUCCAAGAUCGUUUUAUCCCAUGGAGCGUGAGAGAGGAGAGUCGCUUGAGGUUUGAGAGUCUGAGCCAGGAUGGUUUAUCGGUUACAGAGUAUGAGGCGCGUUUUUGCCAGUUGUCUAGGCAUGCGUUUGCCAUUAUUCCAAAUGUGAAAGAGAGGAUCCGCAGAUUUGUGAGGGGAUUGACUUUCUCUAUCAGGUCAGCUGUGUUUAGGACAUCUAGGGAGGGGACUUCUUUCCAUUCUAUUGUGAGCGCCGCCAAAGAGGCGGAAUUAAUGGAGAGAGAGGAGUUUGGGGACCCUAAAAGAGCUCGUAUAUCAGGUUAGUUUCAUGGUGCCUCAUCUGGAGGUAGGGGAUCACAGAGAGUGAGUGGUUCUUUUCAACAGCGGGGACCUAUUCAUGCAUCUAUGCCGACAUCUGAGGGUGGCCAGACAUCUAGGAGUUCUUAUAGCCCGGGUCAGAGCUCGUACGGUUCACAGCAGCGACCUACAGGGCGCGGAAAUUUUAGUGGGUUUUCAGGGUCCACACAACAGUUCCCAUGUCAGAGAUUUUGUUUUACUUGUGGAGAUCAUAAUCAUCUAAUGCGGCAGUGUACUACACAAAGGGGUCGUGGUGGGCCUCGACCUAAUUCUUCAUUCCAAACUAGACCACCAGCACCACAGGGUAGAGGUCGUGCAGAGUUCAGUCAGGUAGAGGUGAUAGAGUUUCUAGUAGUGUGUUGCAGCUCAGCAGAGUGGGGGUAGAGGUAUCACCCAGGAUGGAGGUGGACGAAGAGGCCACUGCUAUGCUUUCCCUGGGAGACCCGAGGCGGAGACCUCCGAUGCUGUUAUUACAGGUAUCAUCCCAGUAUGCCAUCGACCCGCGUCUGUGUUAUUUGAUCUAGGUUCUACAUUCUCUUAUGUGUCUACGUAUUUUGCUGCUAAAUUUGAUAUGAUAUGUGAUAGCAUGACUGUACCUAUUCGUGUUUCUACACCCGUGGGUAAGCCCUUAGUGGUGGAUCGAGUAUAUCGAUCCUGUCUUAUUUCAUUGGCUGGGUAUGACACUUGGGUAGACUUAAUCAUUCUGGGGAAGGUAGACUUUGAUGUUAUCUUGGGUAUGGAUUGGCUUUCUCCUUAUCAUGUUGUCCUUGAUUGUAAUGCCAAGACUUUGACUUUAGCAAUGCCUGGUAUUCCGAAGGUUGAGUGGAAGAGUGCUAGUGGUUCUUAUCCUAACAAGGUCAUCUCUUUUAUCCGUGCUCAGAAAUUGGUGGAGAGGGGGUGUUUGUCUUACUUAGCGUUUAUUCGGGAUACUAGUGUUGAACCACUUUCCAUGGACUCUGUUCCCGUGGUUCAGGAGUUUCUCGAUGAAUUUCCUUUUGAUCUUCCAGGUGUUCCUCCCUAUAGGGAUAUCGAUUUUGCUAUUGAUUUGGAGUCGGGCACUAAGCCUAUUUCUAUACCUCCAUAUCGUAUGGCCCCAGCAGAGUUGAAAGAAUUGAAGGAUCAGUUGCAAGAUUUAUUGAGUAAGGGUUUUAUUCGCCCUAGUGUAUCUCCUUGGGGUGCCCCUGUAUUGUUUGUGAAGAAGAAGGAUGGGACUAUGAGAAUGUGUAUUGAUUACAGACAGUUGAACAAGGUAACAGUUAAGAAUAAGUAUCCUCUUCCGCGUAUUGAUGACUUAUUUGAUCAGUUACAGGGAGCAUCAUUGUUCUCUAAGAUUUAUUUGAGGUUUGGGUAUCAUCAGUUGAAGAUUAGGGCAUCAGAUAUCCCUAAGACAGCUUUUCGGACCCGGUAUGGGCAUUAUGAGUUUCUAGUGAUGUCCUUCGGAUUGACUAAUGCCCCUACAGCAUUCAUGGAGUUGAUGAAUGGGGUGUUUCGACCAUACCUUGAUUCUUUUGUGAUUGUUUUCAUCGAUGACAUCUUGGUUUACUCUAAGACUGAGGAGGACCAUGUCCGACACCUGAGAAUUGUACUUCACAGGUUGAGAGAAGAGAAGUUGUAUGCCAAGUUCUCAAAGUGUGAGUUCUGGCUUACUUCUGUGACAUUCUUGGGACACGUGGUGUCCAAGGAGGGUAUUAGAGUAGAUCCGGCAAAGAUUGAGGCAGUUAGAGGCUGGAUGCGACCUACUUCACCUACUGAGAUUAGGAGUUUUGUGGGAUUGGCAGGCUAUUAUCGAGUGAUUUGUUCAGAGUUUCUCUACUAUUGCAGCUCCAUUGACUAGAUUGACUCGACAAGAUGUGAGUUUUCAGUGGUCUGAUGAGUGUGAGGAGAGCUUUCAAAAGCUCAAGACUUUGUUGACUUCUGCUCCUGUGUUGACUCUACCUAAGGAAGGUGUAGACUUUACUGUGUAUUGUGAUGCUUCAGGAGUUCGUUUGGGUGGUGUGUUGAUGCAGAAGGGGAAAGUGAUUGCUUAUGCUUCUAGGAAAUUGAAAUCCAUGAGAAAAACUACCCUACUCAUGAUUUGGAGUUGGCGGCUGUGGUAUUUGUACUUAAGUUAUGGCGUCAUUAUUUGUAUGGGGUGCAUUGUGAGAUCUUCACUGAUCAUCGAAGUCUUCAAUAUAACUUUAGCCAGAGGGAUUUGAACUUGAGGCAACGGAGAUGGCUUGAGUUGCUGAAGGACUAUGAUGUGACCAUUAUGUAUCAUCUAGGAAAGGCCAAUGUUGUGGCCGAUGCUCUGAGUAGGAAGACUCCUAGCAUGGGGAGUCUUGCAGCGCUUAGUAUUAUGGAGAGACCAUUGGCUAGAGAUGUGCAGAUAUUAGCUAACAGUCUUUUCCUCUUGCAGAUUUCAGAAAAAAGUGAUGGGAUGAUUGCUUUUAUUGAGGCUCGGUCUUCUUUAGUCGAGAAAAUUCGUGCACACCAAUUUGAUGAUGAAAAAUUAUGUCUCAUUCGAGACAAAGUAUUGAGAGGGGAAGCUAAGGAGGCUGUCAUUGAUUCUGAUGGUGUCUUGCGGAUCGGAGGCAAAAUUUGUGUGCCCAGGACAGGCCAUUUGAUUAGAUUGAUUCUUGAGGAGGCCCAUUGUACUCGGUAUUCCAUCCAUCCGGGAGCGGCGAAGAUGUAUCAUGAUCUGAGUCAGCAUUACUGGUGGUGUGGGAUGAAGAGAGAUAUUUCAGACUUUGUUUCUAGGUGUUUGACUUGCCAGCAGGUCAAAUGUGAGCACCAGCGGCCCGGGGGUGUAUCUCAGAGGAUGCCUAUUCCUACUUGGAAGUGGGAGCGGAUUACUAUGAACUUUGUUGUGGGUUUGCCUACCACAGUGGGUGGUUAUGACUCUAUUUGGGUUGUUGUUGAUAGGCUGACCAAGUCUGCCCACUUCAUCCUGGUUUAGGUAAAGUAUACAGCAGAAAAGUUAGCCGAACUAUAUAUCAGUCAGAUUGUGCGACUACAUGGAGUUCCUCUUUCUAUCAUAUCAGAUAGAGGUUCACUAUUUACUUCUCACUUCUGGAAGGCAUUACAACAUGGUCGGGGUACUCAGUUAGAUAUGAGUACGGCAUUUCACCCUCAGACAGAUGGUCAAUCUGAGCGGACCAUCCAGGUAUUGGAAGAUAUGCUUCGAGCGUGUGUGAUCGAUUUUGGUGCAAGAUGGGAUCGACAUUUACCCUUAGCGGAGUUUACCUAUAAUAACAGUUAUCACUCUAGUAUCCAAAUGGCCCCAUUUGAGGCAUAGUAUGGUAGACGGUGUAGAUCUCCUAUUGGUUGGUUUGAUUCCGCGGAGAUGGACUCUUUGGAUAUUGACUUGCUUAGAGAUGCUAUGAAGCAAGUUCGUAUGAUUCAGUAUAGAUUAUUGACAGCACAGAGUCGACAAAAGAGUUAUGCAGACCGGAGAGUUAGAGCCUUGGUGUUUAUGGAGGGUGAUCAUGUUUGGCUUCGAGUAUCACCCAUGAAGGGUGUGAUGAGGUUUGGAAAGAAGGGCAAGCUUAGCCCUAGGUUCAUUGGACCUUUUGAGAUUUUGAGCCGAGUGGGAGAGGUGGCCUAUAAGCUGGCCUUGCCACCUAGUUUGUCGGCAGUUCAUCCUGUUUUCCAUGUCUCUAUGCUUCGGAAGUAUAUUCCGGAUGAAUCUCAUGUGAUUUCACUCGAUUCUGUGGAGCUGGGUCCAGACUUGACAUUUGAGGAGGAGCCUAUAGCUAUUAUGGAUAUGCAAAUUCGAAAGCUUAAGACCAAAGAGAUUGCUUCAGUGAAGGUGCAAUGGAAGCACUGAUCAGUGGGAGAGGCAACUUGGGAGACAGAGUCUGACAUGCGUGCCAGAUAUCCUCAACUUUUUGAAGCAUCUGGUACUUUCUUUUACUUUAUGUUCGAGGACGAACAUGAUUUUUAGUGGUGGAUAAUGUAAUGACCCGGAAGGUCAUUUUUGGAAAUUUUAAAUAUUAGUGUAACUUAAGUUAAUUUAUUUAUGAUUGAUUGUAAAUAAUGGAAUUAAUAGAUAGUUUUGGACUAAAGUGAUGUUUUAUUUAAGAUCCUAUACUAUUAGGGUCAUGUAUUAAAAAAAUAAGUUAGUGUAUUUUGUCAGUUUUUAAUAAACUAUUAAUUAAUAAAAUAAGGGGAGGCAGAAACCUACCUAAGCCGACGCACACGAGAGGUUUUCUUUGAUCUUCAGGUAACAAUCCAUGGUACUUUGACAUAAUUAUUUUUAAUUUGUCAAUUAUGUGUGAUAAAUGGGAUAUGAUAUGAAUUCAAGAUCUGGGUUUAUUGAGAAAUUAAGGCACCUUUUUAGUGCAAUUUGUGCCAGCCGUAAAGGUGAUAGUUGAAGGCCAUCUGAAGGCUAUUAUUAGUAGCAUUAGAGAAACAAUGAAAUUGUAUAAAACAAUAAAUUAAGUGCUAAAAUUAUUGAGUGAAAAAAAUUAGUAGUUAUAAUUUUUCGUGGCUAACUGGUACGUUAAUGUUUUUGGGAAACUAAGAGAAAGAAUGGGGAAUAUUUGAAUUGGCCAUAAUGAGCCAAUGAUUGGUCAUAAUGAGCCAAUCAUUGGCCAUAAUGAGCCAUUCAUUGGCUAGAAAAAAAAUAAAAAAAAAUAAAAAUUGUUAAACAAAAGAACAAAAAUAAGUAAUAAUAAUAAGGGUUCAUUAGCACUAUUCCAAUUAAACUAGUAGUGCAAAGUUUCAUUUUACUGUGAAUCUAAUUUUGAUAGGUAGGCAUGGGUAAUUAAAUAUUAUAUGUAUGGUGUUGACUGAAUGUUAUUCGAAUUAUGAUAGUGGAAAAGAAAUAAUAGAAAUUUAAUCCUAGGCUUGAAACUUGAAAAAAAAAUUAUGAUAGAGCAAAUUUUAAUUGACAUCAAGAAUUACAAAAUUGAUUAUAAAUUUGGUGAAUUUUUAAGUCAAGGUUAAACACAAAUAAAUAAAUAAAUGUGGAUAUUGUUUGUACCGAAAUCUUAUAGUGAAUAUAUAUACUUGAAUAGGUUGCAUCGAUUCGGAAGUUCAACGAAAAGGGAAGGCUCAAGUCCCAGACUUAUUAUUCGAUUGACUAAGGCCAAUGGAUUUCUAAACUCUUGCUAAGCGUACGAAAUUCGUGUAUUUCCUUGUGUAAUGUUGAGAAUGAUUUGGAGACUUGUUGUUUAAUUGUUGGUGUUGUAUUUCUUGUUGUAAAUUGUGCUUUGUUAUCAAAUGGUUAUUCUCUCCUUUUCAUUUGAGCAUGUCAUUUGCAUUGUAUCUGAGACAUGGUUGUGGUAAGAGGAUGAUGUACUAUUUUCGAGAGUCGUAUCGCGCGCCGCGAUGGAUAUUAUAUUUCGAGGGACGUAUCGCGCGCCGCGAAGGUUACUAUUUUAUCGAGGGUCGUGUCGUGCACCGCGACAGAUGCAUGGAUACAUAUGUCCCCCAUGGGUCCCAGACUGAGAGACAGCGGGUGUGUAUCGUUAAGAAAGACAUGCAUCACGAUAUUUGACAUUGCAUCUCAUGGCAUUGCACAUUUUUAUUAUUGAUGAACUUGAACAUGUGUUUUUGCUGAUCUUGUGAUUGUUUCUCUGUGAAGCUUGUGACUGUUGAAUAUUGAGUUGUUAUUGAGAAUGUGUAAACUGAUAGAGCGUGGUUAUUGAUUGGUGUUCUUGGUAAACUGUUAGGCUGUAGCGUGGAGGUUUAGAUAGGGCGUAAGGAGUACCCGU
RNAcentral lists this long non-coding RNA (8395 nucleotides) under Solanum lycopersicum (tomato). Its description in RNAcentral is "long non-coding RNA (SLYC_LNC001139)". Lineage: Eukaryota; Viridiplantae; Streptophyta; Magnoliopsida; Solanales; Solanaceae. The record is from RNAcentral.